Long non-coding RNA from Hippocampus zosterae (dwarf seahorse), 1440 nucleotides. RefSeq lists it as uncharacterized. The record is from RefSeq and is a predicted model, not a curated record. Lineage: Eukaryota; Metazoa; Chordata; Actinopteri; Syngnathiformes; Syngnathidae. The transcript is spliced from 3 exons.
UAUCAAGAGGUAAAAGUGCAUCCACGUUGUAAAUGGACCGAAUCUAAUGAUGGAAAUGUGGAUGAAGUUACCACGAAUGUAUUUGAAGACAUACUAAAUGGUUAUGAGCGCGUGUCAGAUGUCGGGACAAAUGCAUCCGAAAUGUGCAUCUGUUGUCCUGCAAAUGUGCCGAAGGAUAUCCUCAAGUAUUUGGACGGCGAAGACCAAGUCCCAAGUAAUUCUUUCCUCAACUCUGUCAUGAAGUGCACAUCAAGAGAACACGCUUAUUCUUGAAGGAUGAUUUCCUUCUCUUUGUGUUUGUCAUGACAGGCUCCACUGUGACGGCGACCAAUCGUGUUUGCCUUUCGCCGGCGCCCAAUAUGAGUUGCCGUUUGUCUCCGGGGAGGAGGACGAGUCAAUCGGGCGAGAUAUCACUGGGGCAAAGGGGUCCCGUCGUUGCAAAGGGCGGCGCCAGGGAGCCGACGGGGGAGAUUGGGAAGGAGAAGCGCAGGAAGCGGCUUUAAAACUCUUCUUUGACGCUGAUGGGCAGCGAGGACGGCGACACCAGGCCGGACGGCGACACCAGGCCGCUGCUGCUGCUGGUCACCAUGGCGACGCUGCCGGACGACGAGGCGGGCUGCUGCUGCUGUUGCUUCUUCUUGCUGAUCUUGCGUUCCUUGGCACGCCGGUUCUGGAACCAGAUCUUCACCUGGAGGCCACCGAUACCAACGGGCAGGCGCUAGCAACGAGAACUUCAUCCGUCGGCUACUUGAUGCACGCCUGGAAUCACCUGCGGCAACAUCGUUGAAACGAUGGAAUAGAAGGUCGUUUCAAAAGUUUCAUUUCAUGGCAUUUGACGUGAACACUUGCGGAAACAAUUUUAUGAAUUUGAGGCUUCCGUCGUGCAAAUUCAAACGAGACAUUUUCUUUUUCAUUUGAGAUCAUCAAGGAAUUCUCAUUCAUGCCCUCAUUUUUGGAAACUAUUCAUCAACUUCCACCCUCCAACACACUUGAACUCUUUUGGAAAUUAAAAGCUUCUUGUGUUUUUUUUCCCCGCUUCCUUUUUAUUCAGUUCAUCUGUCAAAUUACAUUUGCAUCGCCAAGUUAAUUGAGAAGAAGCGAGCGCUAAACUGACAAAAUGCCGACUGAGUAAGCUAGCAACAAAUGGUGGCAGCUCACAUUUUCAAGGUCACACUUGAUGUCUUGAUGUGAGAAUUUCGUUCAACGGAAAAAAACAAAACCAAUCGGCAUGUUUCUCACCGGAUCCUUCUGGAGCGUGUGAAAUUUUGCAGCGGAGGAGACCGCUUGUCGACGAUUUAUGGAUUUACGAGGUUACCUUUUUAUUGUUUUACACUCAUGACUUUUCUUUGUCUGAGGCCCUAAAGGACACUUCAUUAGGUAUACACACUUUUCACCUUCGCGCAUGUGUAUGUAAAGUGUGUGUGUGUGUGUGUGGGUGCG